RNAcentral lists this long non-coding RNA (1296 nucleotides) under Homo sapiens (human). Its description in RNAcentral is "lncAB565.1". Lineage: Eukaryota; Metazoa; Chordata; Mammalia; Primates; Hominidae. The record is from RNAcentral.
GCCUCUGCACUGGGAUUCCUCCAGCCCCAGCAAGUCCCUCAGGUGGUCCCAGCCUCUGUGUCCGCCUCUGCUCUCCCAGAGCGCCUCAGGCAGAGCAGCCAGGAUGGGGACCAGGCCCGCCUUACCGGGAAUGAGCCUGUCACCUGCUCCUCCCACCCCGCAGCAGGUUCCCGUGGACCUGUGGCUGCUUGGAGAGGCCGGGGGUCACAGAUGGCGCCAGGACACUGUGCCUCUGUCGGGCUGACAGUGACUUCAGGAAUGCUCUCCUCCUGCCGCACUCUGGACCUGUUGGCCAUGCUGUUCAACUUAGCAAAUGUUCUUCCUCACCGCCAACCACAGUGGCCAGGUGCAAGUCCCUCUUGGACAACCUCAGCCCUGGAUACACCGCCUUAUUUACCACUUCGUGAGCAAAAAUAGUCCUUUUUUUUAAAUGGGGUCUCCUUCUGUUGACCAGGCUGGAGUGCAGUGGCGCAAUCACAGUUCACUGUAGCCUGACCUCCUGGGCUCAAGCGAUCUUCCCCUCAGCCUCCCAAGUAACUAGGACUACAGGUGCAUACCACCAUGCCCAGCUAAUAUUGUUUAUUUUGUGUAGAGACAGGGUCUAGCUAUGUUGCUCAGGCUUGACCUUUAGUUUUUCUCAGAAUUUCAAGAGGUUGUGUCUUAUCUGCCAACAGAUCAUGCAACCAGCAAGGCUCUGGUCCAAGUAGGAACGGAUGGUAAACUGGGCAGUGAUGAUGGUGGAGAUGGUGGUGGUGGUGAUGAUGAUGACAAUGAUAAUGAUGAUGGUGAUGGCAGUGGUGGUAGUGGUGAUGGUGCUGGUGGUGCUGGUGAUAUGAUGAUGGCAGUGAUGGUAGUGAUAAUAGUGAUGAUAAUGUGAUGGUAGUGAUGGUGGUGGCAGUAAUAGUGAUGGUGAUGGUGGCAGAGAGGGUGGUGACAGUGAUGUCAGUGGUAAUGGUGGUGGUGAUGGUAAUGGUGAUGGUGGUGGUGGUGAUGAUGGUGGUGAUAGUGGUAGUGAUGGUGUGGUGGAAAUGAUGGCUGUGAUCGUGAUGAUGAUGGUAGUGAUGGUUACAAUGAUAGUGGUGGUAGUGGUGGUGAUGGCAAUGAUGGUAUUGAUGGUGAUGGUGGUGGUGGUGGUAGUGAUGGUGGUGGUGGUAGAUGGUGGCAGUGAAGACGGUGGUAAUGGUAGAUGGUGGCAGUGAAGAUGGUGGUAAUGAUGGUAAUGGUGAUAGUGGUGCUGGUGGUGAUGGUGAUGGUGGUGGUGGUGGUAGUGAUGGUGAUGAUGAUGGUGAUAGUGAU